UACGAAGGGGGCUAGCGUUGCCCCGGAAUCACUGGGCGUAAAGGGCUCGUAGGCGGUUUGUCACGUCGGGGAGUAGAAACGUCGGGUCUUAACCCCCGAGCCUGCUUUCGAUACGGGCAGACUAGAGGUAUGCAGGGGAGAACGGAAUUCCUGGUGUAGCGGUGAAAUGCGCAGAUAUCAGGAGGAACACCGGUGGCGAAGGCGGGUCUCUGGGCAACAACUGACGCUGAGGAGCGAAAGCGUGGGGAGCGAACAGG
This 257-nucleotide ribosomal RNA is filed under the name uncultured bacterium. Its description in RNAcentral is "partial 16S ribosomal RNA". It matches the Rfam family "Bacterial small subunit ribosomal RNA", at positions 524 to 776 of the family's 1533-position model. The record is from RNAcentral.